Molecule: ribosomal RNA, 1437 nt
Filed under: uncultured organism
Description: SSU rRNA
Rfam family: Bacterial small subunit ribosomal RNA
Source: RNAcentral
CAGGCUUAACACAUGCAAGUCGAGGGGCAUCAGGAAGAAAGCUUGCUUUCUUUGCUGGCGACCGGCGCACGGGUGAGUAACACGUAUCCAACCUGCCCUUUACUCGGGGAUAGCCUUUCGAAAGAAAGAUUAAUACCCGAUAGCAUAAUGAUUCCGCAUGGUUUCAUUAUUAAAGGAUUCCGGUAAAGGAUGGGGAUGCGUUCCAUUAGGUUGUUGGUGAGGUAACGGCCCACCAAGCCUUCGAUGGAUAGGGGUUCUGAGAGGAAGGUCCCCCACAUUGGAACUGAGACACGGUCCAAACUCCUACGGGAGGCAGCAGUGAGGAAUAUUGGUCAAUGGGCGCUAGCCUGAACCAGCCAAGUAGCGUGAAGGAUGAAGGCUCUAUGGGUCGUAAACUUCUUUUAUAUAAGAAUAAAGUGCAGUAUGUAUACUGUUUUGUAUGUAUUAUAUGAAUAAGGAUCGGCUAACUCCGUGCCAGCAGCCGCGGUAAUACGGAGGAUCCGAGCGUUAUCCGGAUUUAUUGGGUUUAAAGGGAGCGUAGGUGGACUGGUAAGUCAGUUGUGAAAGUUUGCGGCUCAACCGUAAAAUUGCAGUUGAUACUGUCAGUCUUGAGUACAGUAGAGGUGGGCGGAAUUCGUGGUGUAGCGGUGAAAUGCUUAGAUAUCACGAAGAACUCCGAUUGCGAAGGCAGCUCACUGGACUGCAACUGACACUGAUGCUCGAAAGUGUGGGUAUCAAACAGGAUUAGAUACCCUGGUAGUCCACACAGUAAACGAUGAAUACUCGCUGUUUGCGAUAUACAGUAAGCGGCCAAGCGAAAGCAUUAAGUAUUCCACCUGGGGAGUACGCCGGCAACGGUGAAACUCAAAGGAAUUGACGGGGGCCCGCACAAGCGGAGGAACAUGUGGUUUAAUUCGAUGAUACGCGAGGAACCUUACCCGGGCUUAAAUUGCAGUGGAAUGAUGUGGAAACAUGUCAGUGAGCAAUCACCGCUGUGAAGGUGCUGCAUGGUUGUCGUCAGCUCGUGCCGUGAGGUGUCGGCUUAAGUGCCAUAACGAGCGCAACCCUUAUCUUUAGUUACUAACAGGUUAUGCUGAGGACUCUAGAGAGACUGCCGUCGUAAGAUGUGAGGAAGGUGGGGAUGACGUCAAAUCAGCACGGCCCUUACGUCCGGGGCUACACACGUGUUACAAUGGGGGGUACAGAAGGCAGCUAGCGGGUGACCGUAUGCUAAUCCCAAAAUCCUCUCUCAGUUCGGAUCGAAGUCUGCAACCCGACUUCGUGAAGCUGGAUUCGCUAGUAAUCGCGCAUCAGCCACGGCGCGGUGAAUACGUUCCCGGGCCUUGUACACACCGCCCGUCAAGCCAUGGGAGCCGGGGGUACCUGAAGUACGUAACCGCAAGGAUCGUCCUAGGGUAAAACUGGUGACUGGGGCUA